Long non-coding RNA from Passer montanus (Eurasian tree sparrow), 2691 nucleotides. RefSeq lists it as uncharacterized. The transcript has 2 exons. NCBI's taxonomy places the organism in Eukaryota, Metazoa, Chordata, Aves, Passeriformes, Passeridae. The record is from RefSeq and is a predicted model, not a curated record.
CCCCAGCAGGCCCCGCAGCCACCCGCCCCCGGCCCGCUGGGGCCGCCUCGCUCCCCUCCGGCAUGGGCCCCGCAGGCGAAGCCGAAGCCGCCCAGCAAACCUCUGCCAGCGCUGAAGGGCAAAGUGCCGAGCCACGGCGAGGGCACGCCGGCACCGUCCCUUCCACCCUUUCAGCGGUGUCCCCCGCCCAAGGUGGCCCUGAAGCCGCCCCCUGCCAGGAGGUGACCAAGGAUGCUCCAUCCGCCACCGCGGCCGGCCGGGAGCGGCACAGCUGGGUGGUGGCACAGCUGGAGAGCCAUGGUCUCGCUUCCACCCUUACUUGAAUUGCCGGCCAGACCCUCAGACCCUGCCCGGGGUGGGCACCAGUGUUUACAGAUCCUCGAGUUGUGCCUUAAUGGACUCGGCAGCCUCACGGUCCAGCCGGGGCUUCCCAAGGAAACCAGGAGCGGGGACAAUGCCAGCUCCGGCUUGGAGGACCAACCCACGUUGCGCCCUGGGAGCUGCUGCCUUCUCUCCCGACGUCCUGAAUGUGUCCUGUCCCCCUGCCCUUCCCUGCCGGAGAGAGGAGCUCCUGGCACCACGGGGCAGAAGAGCACAGCGCCGUGGGGACCUGCCCCAGGGACAUCACCCCGGGGGAUGUCACCAGGGGCUGUGGCAGGUCCGAGCUGGGCUUGGCCUCCCCACGGGGCUUUUAUCUCUGGAGUUAUUCCUUGAGUGUUCAAAAGGGAAUUCCCUGGGAGCCUUUUUACUGCAGCCAUUUAUUUAUGACCCUUAUGUGACCAUUUUGAGCCACUUGCUGUAAAACCAGGCCUCCCAUUUUUUGAUAUAAUUGAGGUUCAAGGCUUUUAUACCAAUAAAGACUGAAGGAAGAGGUGUCAUGGGGUGUGUCUGGGCAGGAGGGCACAGCGGGGUGGCAGCAGGCAGGGAGCUGUGCGGGGACCACGGAAGGGGAAAAGGGUGGAGCUGAGCUCCCCAGUCCAGUGCCAGAGCCACAGGGGCUGAUGUGCAGCACAUUCUGCCAGCCACGCAGAGCCAGGCUGCCCCAGGAUGCUGCAGGGAGUCCCCUCAUGCUCAGCACCAUCCUGCCUGUGGCUGGCUUGGAGCACAGCUCCCAGGGUGGCACUCGCUGCAGCCGAGGACACCCACACCAUGCAGUGCUGCUGCAGGGGACAGGCAGAGGGGUCCCCCACUUCAUGUGCCACCAGCCCUAGGACACAUAAAACCAUCCCAAAAAAUGGUAACAAAAUAAUUUUAUUCUGCUUUAUCAAAAGAACUUAACUGUGAAUGUAAACCUGACCGGAUGUAUCGUGUUUCCUUAAGGAGAUGCGCAUCCAGGGGCAGACCCCUUUAGUCACAGGGCCACACAGGCCAUGGGAGAGGAGAAAAAAGCCAGUUCCAUCCCAAAAUCCCAGCUGCAGCCAUGUCCCUGCUCACAGCUGGGGCUCAGAGGGCAGUAAGGGUGCCAAAGCCGUGGCCAGCCCCUCCUGCACACACUGGGGCUGCUGCAGCAGGGGCUGGGGAAGCAGGGGAGGGGGCUGCUGCAGAAGGCACUGGGCAUCACACAUGCUGCUGCAGGAGCUGGGACCACGGGAGCAUCCCCUGGGGUCCCUCAGACCACGUGGGGAGGUGGCUGAUGCAUACAGAGGGACACUGAGCCAGUGACAGCCACUGGAGGCAAAGUCAUGGCGCAGGGAGGCACGGCAAGGCUGGGAUCCAAAGGGAAGCAGCUCUUCCUGCACUGGCCUGGCAGGCUUUCCUGCUCCCUGCAUGGACAUCUUGCUCUGAUCACUGCAGGGGAGCUGUCAACUGCCUGGUUAUUGCUCCCAGCAGCUCCCCUCUGCCCUUGUCACUUCCAGGCUGGCAGAACCUACUCUGUCCAGCCACUCCUGAUGGCCAGUGUGCCCAAUCCCAGUAACACAUGAAGAAAAUCAUGGAGACCACAUUCCUGCCAUCAUUCCCUCCAGCAGUGCUUCUAGCCUAUAAAGCCUGCCCUCAUCCCAAAAUCCAACCAAAGGGGUGCUGCUGGGGUGAGGGGAGGUCUGUGCCAAGGGACUGCCAGAACACUGAGGAGGUGGCAGGGAGAGAUGAGACUACACUGCUCCAUCAAAGCCAUCCCACAGGAAAAAAAGAGACCCUGCAAGCCAAGCAGCACUUCCAGAAAACAUUUCAAACACUACAGAACACACUGCCACCCCUCUCUGCCCUGGUGCCCUGGUGACUGGCUCCUGCCAUGGCUGGGUUGGAAGAGGAGCUGGGAUCCUGGAGCAGAGCAUCAGCUGAGCCUUGGGAGUUUGCAGGCAGACAGAGGACAAGAAAGACUGCCUGAAACUGCUGCAAAGUCCCACAGUUACGUCUCACACCCUGCAGAAGGGGCAGGGCCAACACAACCCUGCUGUGCCCCAGAGAUGGAGGAGAGCAGCCAGGACAGGAGCAGAGACAGCAGGAGGCACCGUGUGCUGCUGGAGACACUGCCACCCCUGAAACCCAGCCACACAGGGUGGGGACACAGCAUGCAGAGCCCACACAGCUCCUCUGGGGACACCACAGCACAGGCAAAGCUGCUUUGGGUUGGAUGUUUCUCAAUGGCACAAGCUAAACACAUCCCUCCCCUGGCCAGGAGGCUGCAGGUGGAGCCAGGGACAGAAGAUCCAAACAGGAUGAGUGCCAGGAGUGUCACCACCCCCCAGCCCC